AAAUUUGCGCAGUGGCAGUAUCAUAGCCAAUGAGGUUAAUCUGAGGUGUGAUUAUUGCUAGUUGAAAACUUUCAGACAAAACAAUG
Molecule: small nuclear RNA, 86 nt
Filed under: Chrysemys picta bellii (western painted turtle)
Lineage: Eukaryota; Metazoa; Chordata; Testudines; Emydidae
Description: U4 spliceosomal RNA (ENSCPBG00000023023.1)
Rfam family: U4 spliceosomal RNA
About the family: U4 small nuclear RNA (U4 snRNA) is a component of the major U2-dependent spliceosome. The structure of U4 snRNA from yeast and human has been reported.
Source: RNAcentral